This 836-nucleotide ribosomal RNA is filed under the name uncultured bacterium. RNAcentral's name for it is "bacterial SSU rRNA". It matches the Rfam family "Bacterial small subunit ribosomal RNA", at positions 43 to 884 of the family's 1533-position model. The record is from RNAcentral.
UGCGCCUUAUGCAUGCAAGUCGAGCGAAGCUUUUCAGUAGUUUACUACAGAAAAUGACUGAGCGGCGAACGGGUGAGUAACGCGUGAGCAAUCUACCUUAGUUACUGGGAUAGCCCGAGGAAACUCGGAUUAAUACCGGAUAAUCUUAUUACAUCACAUGAUAUUUUAAGUAAAGGUCAGCCGAACUAAGAUGAGCUCGCGUUCUAUCAGCUUGUUGGUGGGGUAAAAGCCUACCAAGGCUACGACGGAUAGCUGGUCUGAGAGGACGAUCAGCCACACUGGGACUGAGACACGGCCCAGACUCCUACGGGAGGCUGCAGCAGGGAAUAUUGCGCAAUGAGCGAAAGCUUGACGCAGCGACACCGCGUGUGGGAUGACGGUUCUAGGAUUGUAAACCACUUUCAGGAGGGAAGAAAAUGACGGUACCUCCACAAGAAGCCCCGGCCAACUACGUGCCAGCAGCCGCGGUAAUACGUAGGGGGCGAGCGUUGUCCGGAUUUAUUGGGCGUAAAGAGCUCGUAGGCGGUUCAACAAGUCGGUCGUGAAAGUUCAGGGCUUAACCCUGAAAUGUCGAUCGAUACUGUUGUGACUAGGAUAUGGUAGAGGUGAGUGGAAUUCCGAGUGUAGCGGUGAAAUGCGUAGAUAUUCGGAGGAACACCAAUAGCGAAGGCAGCUCACUGGACCACUAUCGACGCUGAGGAGCGAAAGCUAGGGGAGCAAACAGGAUUAGAUACCCUGGUAGUCCUAGCUGUAAACGAUGGAUACUAGAUGUAGGAAUUGGAUUGACGAUUUCUGUAUCGUAGCUAACGCGUUAAGUAUCCCGCCUGGGGAGUACG